UCGGGUAGUGACAGUGUGGAAUCCGUUAAUGAAUUGAUGUCGCUUUAUUCAAGCUACUCACCUCCCUCUUCCACCUGCACUUUCAACUGGACCACGGCCAGUCAGAGAGGUCCCGCCCCGACUAUCUCUGAUUGGUUUAGUCCAUGAUAGGGGCAUAAUGUGUGUCUGUUGUUGACCACACGGAGAGUUGCAGAGAUUUUUUUUUUUUUUUUGCUACCCGAAAAUAUUUGGUCGCACCAGUGAAAAAUUUGGUCGCAUUUGCGACCAAAUUGGUUGCACUCUAGAGCCCUGCCCAAGGUGAGAUCUAAAACCUGCAGGGACACCGGCCCUCAUGGACUGAGAUUGCCCACCCCUGCUCUAGGAACAACAUGUUCCUGCCCUUGGCGCUACAUACCUGUGGAAAUCACCCACCUGUCUCUGAUGAUCUCAUCAGCAACCACUGCUUAAGGCGGUGGCUGGUUGACGUUCAUCGCUGGAUCGUUGAAUUACCUAACCUUCCCUGGAUUCCUUCCCUGAUGUGUGGUGAGCCUGCCUGAGUUGUGUGAAAGAAGAGCGAGUUGAAAAGUAACGGAUGAUUGGACGCCUUUCCCCUGGAUCUCUGGAGCCCCAUUUCCACUUUGUACAAUGUAUAUAGCACUACUGGCUCCUGUAAAUAAAAACACUGAAUUGUGAAUUUACGGAGUUCUGCCCUUGCGUCCACGCCCUCCAG
Oreochromis aureus is the source of this 709-nucleotide long non-coding RNA. NCBI's taxonomy places the organism in Eukaryota, Metazoa, Chordata, Actinopteri, Cichliformes, Cichlidae. The record is from Ensembl.